CAAACAUUUAUGAGAGCUUUUGAGCACAUGGUGGAGAGUCAAGCUCACAGUGCUAAGAUUUGUUUAUAUUUUCUCGUGCAAUACACUAGAGGCCAUCCCAGAGAAAUGGUCCGAAGCUGUCAGUAUAUGCCUGCUGAGUAUGGAUAUGCUAAAGCUAAAUCUUUGCUCCAAGAGAACUUCGCUGAAAAUUGCUGCUGCCUACAUUGAAAGGGUCAGUAAAUGGCCACCUAUAAAAUCUGAUGAUGUGAAGGCUUUGCAGGAAAAUGGGUUUUUAUUAAGGCAAUGUUGUAAUGCAAUGGGAGAUGUUGAGUCCUUGCAUGAGUUGGAUGUCUCUGCUAAUAUGCAAGCAGUUAUAAAAAAAAAAAAAAAAAGUUACCCUAUAAGCUCAGGGAUAAAUGGAGGAAUGUUGUCUGCGAUCUGCAGGAGAGGUUUCAACGUAAAGUGGUUUUUAGCGAUGUUGAGUUUGUUGAAAGGCAAGUUAAGAUCGCAAGUGACCCAUUGUUUGGAGAUAUACAUGAUCCUCCGACAGCCACCAGAAAAGAGGCGAGGUAAGUCUCAGUUUUACCCUAAGGCUAAGCGGAGUAGUUUUGCUACUACAUGCUCUGUCCAUAAUACCCGUUAGAGUGAAGGCCAAGAAAGGUAAUCAGUCACUGAUAACCUAUGCUUUCCUAGAUCCUGGGAGCCCAGCUUCAUUUUGUACUGAAGGGCUCAUGAAUAGGCUGAAUCUUUCAGGAAGGAAAACUGGCAUUCUUUUGCGGACAAUGGGUCAGGAGAAAAUGGUCAGUAGUUAUGUUGUUUCAGAUUUUGAAGUAGCUGGUUUGGAUUUAGAUCACUACUGUGACUUGCCUGACUUAUUUACUCAGAAAAGCAUGCCUGUUCAUCAAUGUAAUAUUCCUCGACAGGAAGAUCUCGAUAGAUGGCCACAUUUGCGCUAUAUUAAGCAGGGCUCUAGACUAACUUUUUGCCAUGGGCGUACCGGUACAAAAGUUAGGCGCACACAAAUUUUAUAAUUGAUAUAAUAUGUGUUUUUCUGGAUACACUGUGCUUUUUCAGCAUUCAAAGAUUGAUGACACCGUGUCAGAGCACUGGCUAUGAAUUUCAGAAGGAUCAGGCCUUAACAGAAAAGUUAGCAAUAGUUCUUUUCCUAUUACAGCUACAUCCACUUCUGUCCUGCCUAGGCUGCUCACUAGGGCUGGGUAUCAUCACUG
This is a long non-coding RNA of Astatotilapia calliptera (eastern happy), 1208 nucleotides long. NCBI's taxonomy places the organism in Eukaryota, Metazoa, Chordata, Actinopteri, Cichliformes, Cichlidae. The record is from Ensembl.